GACGAACGCUGGCGGCGUGCUUAACACAUGCAAGUCGAACGGAAAGGCCCUGCUUUUGUGGGGUGCUCGAGUGGCGAACGGGUGAGUAACACGUGAGUAACCUGCCCUUGACUUUGGGAUAACUUCAGGAAACUGGGGCUAAUACCGGAUAGGAGCUCCUGCUGCAUGGUGGGGGUUGGAAAGUUUCGGCGGUUGGGGAUGGACUCGCGGCUUAUCAGCUUGUUGGUGGGGUAGUGGCUUACCAAGGCUUUGACGGGUAGCCGGCCUGAGAGGGGGACCGGCCACAUUGGGACUGAGAUACGGCCCAGACUCCUACGGGAGGCAGCAGUGGGGAAUAUAGCACAAUGGGCGGAAGCCUGAUGCAGAAACGCCGCGUGCGGGAUGACGGCCUUCGGGUUGUAAACCGCUUUCGCCUGUGACGAAGCGAGAGUGACGGUAAUGGGUAAAGAAGCACCGGCUAACUACGUG
Molecule: ribosomal RNA, 468 nt
Filed under: uncultured bacterium
Lineage: Bacteria
Description: partial 16S ribosomal RNA
Rfam family: Bacterial small subunit ribosomal RNA
Source: RNAcentral